Molecule: ribosomal RNA, 497 nt
Filed under: uncultured bacterium
Lineage: Bacteria
Description: partial 16S ribosomal RNA
Rfam family: Bacterial small subunit ribosomal RNA
Source: RNAcentral
AGUGAACGCUGGCGGUAGGCCUAACACAUGCAAGUCGAACGGCAGCACAGUAAGAGCUUGCUCUUACGGGUGGCGAGUGGCGGACGGGUGAGGAAUACAUCGGAAUCUACUUUUUCGUGGGUGAUAACGGAGGGCAACUUACGCUAAUACCGCAUACGACCUACGGGUGAAUGCAGGGGAUAUUCGGACUUUUCGCGAUUGAUUGAGCCGAUUCCGAGUCGCAUUAGCUAGUUGGUAAGGUACCGGCAUACCAAGGCGACGAUGCGUAGCUGAGCUGAGAGGAUGAUCAGCCACACUGGAACUGAGACACGGUCCAGACUCCUACGGGAGGCAGCAGUAGGGAAUCUUGCGCAAUGGGCGCAAGCCUGACCGAGCAAUGCCGCGUGAGUGAUGAAGGUCUUCGGAUCGUAAAGCCCUGUUAUUAGGGAAGAACAAAUGUGGAAGAAACCAUGGACGUUCUGACGGUACCCAAUCAGAAAGCACCGGCUAACUACGUG